GAUUAAAAGUAGGUUUACGAUUUGGAUUGAUUUUUUGAUCUGAUAAUGAUCUGUGCCUUCUAAUGAUUGUUACUAUAUGAGAUCCUGGGAUUUUGAUUUGGGAAAUUGUGAGCCAAGUUGAAGUGAAAUCGUGGGAUCUAGUUUACUAGAUGUUUGCUGGUUAGAAAUGGUUUUAUUAAGUUUUUGUUGUACCCAUAAUAGAAAUGGUUAGAAAUUGCUGCUAAAGUUGAACUCUUUUUGUCAUGGCUACAAUCUCCAUAAUCUGUCAUUUUUUAUUUCCUGUUUUUGCCCUUGUUUUUUUAAUUAGUUUGAUAUAUUUUAAUGGUGGUUGUAAUUAUUUUGAUUUGGAUUCUUAUCAAACUUUUCAAAUUUUUCGUUUUUAAUGAAAUGCAAUGGUUCAUCCUUAUGAUAGGAAGGGAGAAUAGUUUUCCCGGUUCACCUAUGAAUUUAAUUUAGCUUCUGGAUGCCCUAUUUUUUAUUGCACUAGGUGCAUAAAGUAAUUUUACCAGUGCUUGAUUUACUUUUAGCUUAAAAUUGACUUUGUUUCGUGUCCAUUUUAUGGUAUUUCAGGCUUGUUUUGAAUACCCUGUCAUUGUAGAAAUAAGACUUAAUUAUUGCCCCAGGGGAUCUUGUUUUGCACAUUCCUAUGUUUUGGGGACUGUCUACAUUAGGUUAGUUCUUGCUUUCUAAUACUUGAAGUUAAAGAAUCCUAAUCUCAUCUGUGCUUAUGCAAGGAAUGCAUAUAAAUGAAUGCACCUAUAUAGGCAUGGGGCUGGUCCAGGUUCAGACUGGAACUGAUCAAACCUAAAUUUGAAAAGAACCAUCUUGAGGAGUCCAAAUCGAUUUUGACUGGUUCUGUCCAGUUUCAGAUCAAAACCAGA
Molecule: unclassified non-coding RNA, 881 nt
Filed under: Hevea brasiliensis (rubber tree)
Lineage: Eukaryota; Viridiplantae; Streptophyta; Magnoliopsida; Malpighiales; Euphorbiaceae
Source: RNAcentral